RNAcentral lists this ribosomal RNA (489 nucleotides) under uncultured bacterium. RNAcentral describes it as "bacterial SSU rRNA". It matches the Rfam family "Bacterial small subunit ribosomal RNA", at positions 388 to 891 of the family's 1533-position model. The record is from RNAcentral.
GCAGCAACGCCGCGUGUGCGAUGAAGGCCUUCGGGUUGUAAAGCACUUUUCGAGGGGAUGAGGAAGGACAGUACCCUCGGAAUAAGCCUCGGCUAACUACGUGCCAGCAGCCGCGGUAAAACGUAGGAGGCGAGCGUUAUCCGGAUUUACUGGGCGUAAAGCGUGUGCAGGCGGUUCGGCAAGUUGGAUGUGAAAGCUCCCGGCUUAACUGGGAGAGGUCGUUCAAAACUACCGGACUUGAGGAUGGGAGAGGGAGGUGGAAUUCCGGGUGUAGUGGUGAAAUGCGUAGAUAUCCGGAGGAACACCAGUGGCGAAGGCGGCCUCCUGGCCCAUUUCUGACGCUCAUACACGAAAGCUAGGGGAGCGAACGGGAUUAGAGACCCCGGUAGUCCUAGCUGUAAACGAUGUAGACUUGGCGUCGGUGGGUUCAAAUCCAUCGGUGCCGAAGCUAACGCGUAUAAGUCUACCGCCUGGGGACUACGGCCGCAA